RNAcentral lists this ribosomal RNA (1023 nucleotides) under Triticum aestivum (bread wheat). Its description in RNAcentral is "partial small subunit ribosomal RNA". Lineage: Eukaryota; Viridiplantae; Streptophyta; Magnoliopsida; Poales; Poaceae. The record is from RNAcentral.
AUGGGGGAAGAUCGGGAAGAGGAAUCGGAUGAGGAUUUCGGCCACCUGGGUCCAGAUCCAAACCUAGAUGAUGCGUUCGAAGGCAUGAACCUGCGUGGGGAGGAAGAAGAAGACCUAGACCUGUCUGGAGAAGUGGAUGAUCUGAUAAGGGACGUGCGUUGGUUGGCUCUGUUUAGGGUUCACACGAUGAGACCGUUUAGCCAUGCAGCGUUGCUAAAUUCGAUGAGGAACGCGUGGACAUGCGCGCAAGGGGUUACGUUCAACAUCAAGGGGCCGAAUUUGUUCUUGGCUCAAUGUGACUGUCUUGGAGAUUGGAAGAGGGUAAUGGAGGGAGGCCCAUGGCAGUUUCGAAGGGAUCCAGUGAUUCUUGUUGAAUAUGAUGGCUUCACGGAUGUGGAAGAGUAUGCACUGGACAUGUAUCCAUUAUGGGCGCGUAUUAAGGGCCUCCCGGACGGCCUCACAAGGAAGAAAGAGUUAGCGGAGAAGGUGGUAAAGAAGGUGGGGAAGCCACCUUUUACAGUGAUUGUUAAUGAGGGGAGGAUAAACCCUUCAAAUCAUCUUCGAGUAAGAGUUUUCGUGAAUGUGGAUCCUUUGGUGAGAUUUGUGCCGAUUACUUUGAAGGAGAGGAAGAAGUAUCCAGUUAGAUAUGAGAAGCUCUCAGAUUUCUGUUUUUUCUGUGGACGCAUGGGGCAUGUAGUGGAGGAAUGCGGUGAUGGCAUACAUGAUCCUGCAUCAUGUGAGUGGGGAGAUUGGCUUCACUGGACAAAUGAACCGACUAGUCUUGGUGGUGGUGAUAGAGGAGGGGGCGGGAUGGGUUCGAGGCGCGGUGGUGGAUCUAUGGGUGGAAGAGGGAGAGGAGGGUUAGGAGAUGUUUUUGGUGGUGGAGGAAGAGGUGGACAGGGACAUGUUCCAGUAAGCGAGCAUGUUGCGGGGCAAGUGGCUCCUGGUGUCAAUCUUGUGUUAGGCGAGGAUGGGGGGAUGUCAAAAAACGUUUCAUCAGUUCAGAUGGGUCUAUUAAUGUGA